GCCCCCAUCGUCUAGCGGCCUAGGAUACUGGGUUUUCAUCUCAGCGGCAGGGGUUCGAAUCCCCUUGGGGGUACCA
Molecule: transfer RNA, 76 nt
Filed under: Halanaerobaculum tunisiense
Lineage: Bacteria; Bacillati; Bacillota; Clostridia; Halanaerobiales; Halobacteroidaceae
Also listed under: 2 other names
Description: tRNA-Glu
Rfam family: tRNA
About the family: Transfer RNA (tRNA) molecules are approximately 80 nucleotides in length. Their secondary structure includes four short double-helical elements and three loops (D, anti-codon, and T loops). Further hydrogen bonds mediate the characteristic L-shaped molecular structure. tRNAs have two regions of fundamental functional importance: the anti-codon, which is responsible for specific mRNA codon recognition, and the 3' end, to which the tRNAs corresponding amino acid is attached (by aminoacyl-tRNA synthetases). tRNAs cope with the degeneracy of the genetic code in two manners: having more than one tRNA (with a specific anti-codon) for a particular amino acid; and 'wobble' base-pairing, i.e. permitting non-standard base-pairing at the 3rd anti-codon position.
Source: RNAcentral